GGCGUAGUAGCUUAGAUGGUAAAGCACUCAUCUAGCGUACAAAAGGUGUGGAUUCGGAUCCCACAUGCGCUU
RNAcentral lists this transfer RNA (72 nucleotides) under Aedes aegypti (yellow fever mosquito). It matches the Rfam family "tRNA". From Rfam's summary of the family: Transfer RNA (tRNA) molecules are approximately 80 nucleotides in length. Their secondary structure includes four short double-helical elements and three loops (D, anti-codon, and T loops). The record is from Rfam by way of RNAcentral. Lineage: Eukaryota; Metazoa; Arthropoda; Insecta; Diptera; Culicidae.